RNAcentral lists this ribosomal RNA (222 nucleotides) under Clostridioides difficile. RNAcentral's name for it is "partial 23S ribosomal RNA". It matches the Rfam family "Bacterial large subunit ribosomal RNA", at positions 1925 to 2146 of the family's 2925-position model. Lineage: Bacteria; Bacillati; Bacillota; Clostridia; Peptostreptococcales; Peptostreptococcaceae. The record is from RNAcentral.
AAACGGCGGCCGUAACUAUAACGGUCCUAAGGUAGCGAAAUUCCUUGUCGGGUAAGUUCCGACCCGAACGAAAGGCGUAACGAUUUGGGCACUGUCUCAACAACAGACUCGGUGAAAUUGUAAUUCCGGUGAAGAUGCCGGAUACCUGCGACAGGACGGAAAGACCCCAUGGAGCUUUACUGUAGCUUGACAUUGGGUCUUGGUACUACAUGUACAGGAUAG